RNAcentral lists this ribosomal RNA (441 nucleotides) under Actinomyces sp. oral taxon 170. RNAcentral describes it as "bacterial SSU rRNA". It matches the Rfam family "Bacterial small subunit ribosomal RNA", at positions 28 to 440 of the family's 1533-position model. The record is from RNAcentral. Lineage: Bacteria; Bacillati; Actinomycetota; Actinomycetes; Actinomycetales; Actinomycetaceae.
GACGAACGCUGGCGGCGUGCUUAACACAUGCAAGUCGAACGGUGAAGCGCCUUCCUUUUUGGUGGGUGUGGAUGAGUGGCGAACGGGUGAGUAACACGUGAGUAACCUGCCCCCUUCUUCUGGAUAACCGCAUGAAAGUGUGGCUAAUACGGGAUAUUCUGUGCCUGCUGCAUGGUGGGUGUGGGAAAGAUUGCGCUUUUUUGGUGUUUUUGGUGGGGGAUGGGCUCGCGGCCUAUCAGCUUGUUGGUGGGGUGAUGGCCUACCAAGGCGGUGACGGGUAGCCGGCCUGAGAGGGUGGACGGUCACACUGGGACUGAGACACGGCCCAGACUCCUACGGGAGGCAGCAGUGGGGAAUAUUGCACAAUGGGGCGCAAGCCCUGAUGCAGCGACGCCGCGUGAGGGAAUGGAAGGCCCUUUCGGGUUGUGAACCUUCUUUCGC